CCUACGGGGGGCAGCAGUGAGGAAUAUUGGUCAAUGGACGCAAGUCUGAACCAGCCAUGCCGCGUGCAGGAAGACGGCCCUAUGAGUUGUACACUGCUUUUGUACGAGGGUAAACGCAGAUACGCGUAUCUGUCUGAAAGUAUCGUACGAAUAAGGAUCGGCUAACUCCGUGCCAGCAGCCGCGGUAAUACGGAGGAUCCAAGCGUUAUCCGGAUUUAUUGGGUUUAAAGGGUGCGUAGGCGGUCGGAUAAGUUAGCGGUGAAAGCCCGAGGCUCAACUUCGGAAUUGCGUCUGAUACUGUCCGGCUAGAGAGUAGUUGCGGUAGGCGGAAUGUGUGGUGUAGCGGUGAAAUGCUUAGAUAUCAUGAAGAACACCGAUUGCGAAGGCAGCAUAC
Molecule: ribosomal RNA, 394 nt
Filed under: uncultured bacterium
Lineage: Bacteria
Description: partial 16S ribosomal RNA
Rfam family: Bacterial small subunit ribosomal RNA
Source: RNAcentral